GGCGGUGUAGCCAAGUGGCUAAGGCAUAGGUCUGCAACACCUUGAUCGUCGGUUCGAAUCCGAUUGCCGCCUCCA
This 75-nucleotide transfer RNA is filed under the name Entomoplasma ellychniae. RNAcentral's name for it is "tRNA-Cys". It matches the Rfam family "tRNA". Rfam says of the family: Transfer RNA (tRNA) molecules are approximately 80 nucleotides in length. Their secondary structure includes four short double-helical elements and three loops (D, anti-codon, and T loops). RNAcentral also lists the same sequence under 1 other name. Lineage: Bacteria; Bacillati; Mycoplasmatota; Mollicutes; Entomoplasmatales; Entomoplasmataceae. The record is from RNAcentral.